This 401-nucleotide ribosomal RNA is filed under the name Sphingomonas sp. RNAcentral describes it as "bacterial SSU rRNA". It matches the Rfam family "Bacterial small subunit ribosomal RNA", at positions 1027 to 1430 of the family's 1533-position model. The record is from RNAcentral. Lineage: Bacteria; Pseudomonadati; Pseudomonadota; Alphaproteobacteria; Sphingomonadales; Sphingomonadaceae.
CUGGAACACAGGUGCUGCAUGGCUGUCGUCAGCUCGUGUCGUGAGAUGUUGGGUUAAGUCCCGCAACGAGCGCAACCCUCGCCUUUAGUUACCAUCAUUUAGUUGGGUACUAUAAAGGAACCGCCGGUGAUAAGCCGGAGGAAGGUGGGGAUGACGUCAAGUCCUCAUGGCCCUUACGCGCUGGGCUACACACGUGCUACAAUGGCAGGUACAGUGGGCAGCAAUCCCGCGAGGGUGAGCUUAUCUCCAAAACCUGUCUCAGUUCGGAUUGUUCUCUGCAACUCGAGAGCAUGAAGGCGGAAUCGCUAGUAAUCGCGGAUCAGCAUGCCGCGGUGAAUACGUUCCCAGGCCUUGUACACACCGCCCGUCACACCAUGGGAGUUGGAUUCACCCGAAGGCGG